Molecule: long non-coding RNA, 396 nt
Organism: Arachis stenosperma
Lineage: Eukaryota; Viridiplantae; Streptophyta; Magnoliopsida; Fabales; Fabaceae
Exons: 2
Source: RefSeq, a predicted model, not a curated record
CUGUUAAUCAAGUCUCACUCAAAUCAUCAAAUAUUCGCUUAACUAAAUUCAUCACCAUACUAAAGUUGCUCAAUCCAUCAAUCCCUGUGGGAUCGACCUCACUCUUGUGAGUUAUUACUACUUGAUGCAACCUGAUACACUUGCUGGUGGUUCUGUUUUUUGAAAAUAUGGGCUUGGAUAAAGAAACUAUUGGGAGAAUUAUUUUUCGCUACCAGCAUUAAUAAAACUCUUUAGAGGAAGAUUGAAUUCCUUUCUAGUGUUGGCGUUUUUCAAGCUUAUUUUCCUGGGAUAAUUAGAAAAUAUCCGAAAUUACUUGUAACCAACAUUGAUACAACUAUAUUGUAUCCGGAUAUUUUUGGUUCACUAAGUAUAUAAAUAUUUAUUUUUUUAUGGUAA